GCAGUUGUGGUUCACUGGUAGAACGCUUGCUUAGCAUGUGUGAAGCACUGGGUUUGAUUCUCAGCAUUGCA
Molecule: transfer RNA, 71 nt
Filed under: Marmota monax (woodchuck)
Lineage: Eukaryota; Metazoa; Chordata; Mammalia; Rodentia; Sciuridae
Rfam family: tRNA
About the family: Transfer RNA (tRNA) molecules are approximately 80 nucleotides in length. Their secondary structure includes four short double-helical elements and three loops (D, anti-codon, and T loops).
Source: Rfam by way of RNAcentral